RNAcentral lists this long non-coding RNA (338 nucleotides) under Vigna radiata. RNAcentral's name for it is "long non-coding RNA (VRAD_LNC008748)". Lineage: Eukaryota; Viridiplantae; Streptophyta; Magnoliopsida; Fabales; Fabaceae. The record is from RNAcentral.
AAGUACAAUGAUCUUGCAAAAAGGCAACAUGAUGAAAAUUCUUCUGAAGAGGAUUCUACAAAAUCUUUCUAACUAAACUCAGGGGAAUAGAAGAAGUGUGUUGUUUUGUGUCUUUUUGUUCUGUGUUUUUCUGUGUAAAUGGCUUAGCAUGCCAUUGUUUUGUUUUUUUUUCUUUGAUUGUUCCCAUUGAUAACGGUUGAAAGACAGUUAUUUUCAUGCUUAAAUUUGAUAUUAAAUCACACCCUUUAUGGCUUAGAAUUAGCUUGAAAUCAUGCAUUUUUAUUAAGUUAGAGAAUAAGAGAGUCAAAGAUGGUUUUCUUGGUUUUAUGCUUGGUUNC